This is a long non-coding RNA of Homo sapiens (human), 573 nucleotides long. RefSeq lists it as uncharacterized. The record is from RefSeq and is marked validated. The transcript is spliced from 3 exons. Lineage: Eukaryota; Metazoa; Chordata; Mammalia; Primates; Hominidae.
AGGAGCAGGGAGCUGGGAGCUAUGAGUGCUGACUGCGUGAACUCGGCCUCCACUUCCCGGACCUGCCACUUAUCAUGAUCCACGAGCUGUACUCAUGACUCCGCACAAGCAAGCAGGGGCUGACGGUCGGAUCCCUCGCCCCCAUUUUACGGACAGAAGUACCGAGGCUCAAAGAGAGCCAGUGAGAUGCUGAAAUCACGCGUGAUUGGAAUCCAGCCUUGCUAGGGCUGCGGGUGUUACGGGCCGUGGGCGGCGGUUAAGAGCGCUAGUCAAGUGAAGCAAUGGGAAUGGAGAAGAAACAAAUCUAUAACUGGUUGUGAUGAAUUAGUCGUAAGCACCACUGCAAUUGGACCAGUCAAUACCAUGGUUAUCACAGGAGUGUGGCUGAGGCUGUGUUUGGCCCUGGGUGCCAGGUCUGCACCCUGCACUAAGGAUGGGUGAGGAACGACAGGCAGUCGAGCUGGUUGGUGCUACAGGCAAUGUACAGUAAGCCAUGAUGGGCAGAGGCAGGAAAUACUUAGAGAACUGGAAAGAAUAAAGGAGCCGGUGUUCUCUUCGCAGGGCCCGGUGAGU